This 466-nucleotide unclassified non-coding RNA is filed under the name uncultured fungus. RNAcentral's name for it is "partial internal transcribed spacer 1". It matches the Rfam family "Bacterial small subunit ribosomal RNA", at positions 338 to 795 of the family's 1533-position model. The record is from RNAcentral. Lineage: Eukaryota; Fungi.
CCUACGGGAGGCAGCAGUGGGGAAUUGUUCGCAAUGGGCGCAAGCCUGACGACGCAACGCCGCGUGGAGGACGAAGACCUUCGGGUCGUAAACUCCUUUCGAUCGAGACGAAUGGCCUUCGGGUGAACAAUCCGGAGGAAUGACGGUACCGAGAGAAGAAGCCCCGGCUAACUCCGUGCCAGCAGCCGCGGUAAUACGGGGGGGGCAAGCGUUGUUCGGAAUUACUGGGCGUAAAGGGCUCGUAGGUGGCCAACUAAGUCAGACGUGAAAUCCCUCAGCUUAACUGGGGAACUGCGUCUGAUACUGGAUGGCUUGAGUUUGGGAGAGGGAUGCGGAAUUCCAGGUGUAGCGGUGAAAUGCGUAGAUAUCUGGAGGAACACCGGUGGCGAAGGCGGCAUCCUGGACCAACACUGACACUGAUGAGCGAAAGCCAGGGGAGCAAACGGGAUUAGAUACCCUUGUAGUC